CCUACGGGAGGCAGCAGUAAGGAAUAUUGGUCAAUGGACGAAAGUCUGAACCAGCCAUGCCGCGUGAAGGAUUAAGGCCCUCUGGGUUGUAAACUUCUUUUAUCUGGGACGAAAAAAGGGUAUUCUUACUCACUUGACGGUACCAGAGGAAUAAGCACCGGCUAACUCCGUGCCAGCAGCCGCGGUAAUACGGAGGGUGCAAGCGUUAUCCGGAUUUACUGGGUUUAAAGGGUGCGUAGGUGGGCUUGUAAGUCAGUGGUGAAAUCUCCGGGCUUAACCCGGGAAACUGGCCAUUGAUACUAUAGGUCUUGAAUUAUCUGGAGGUAAGCGGAAUAUGUCAUGUAGCGGUGAAAUGCUUAGAUAUGACAUAGAACACCAAUUGCGAAGGCAGCUUACUACGGAUAUAUUGACACUGAGGCACGAAAGCGUGGGGAUCAAACAGGAUUAGAUACCCUGGUAGUCCACGCCCUAAACGAUGGAUACUCGACAUCAGCGAUACACUGUUGUGUCUGAGNGAAGANAUAGUAUCCACCNGGAGACGAGNGCGAAGAGUAGUUAACGUUACUAAUUAGAAGUUAGACGGCGNGAGAGAGCGACGGACGACGACGAGGGAGGAGGAG
Molecule: ribosomal RNA, 620 nt
Filed under: uncultured bacterium
Lineage: Bacteria
Description: bacterial SSU rRNA
Rfam family: Bacterial small subunit ribosomal RNA (bases 1-533)
Source: RNAcentral